GAUGAAGAACGUAGCGAAAUGCGAUAAGUAAUGUGAAUUGCAGAAUUCAGUGAAUCAUCGAAUCUUUGAACGCACAUUGCGCCCCCCAGUAUUCUGGCGGGCAUGCCUGUUCGAGCGUCAUUUCAACCAUCAAGCCCUGCUUGUGUUGGGGUCCUGCGGCUGCCCGCAGGCCCUGAAAACCAGUGGCGGGCUCGCUAGUCACACCGAGCGCAGUAGCACAUCUCGCUCAGGGCGUGCGGCGGGCUCCAGCCGUUAAAGCACCCACCUUUCGCAAGGUUGACCUCGGAUCAGGUAGGAAUACCCGCUGAACUUAAGCAUAUCAAUUAAGCGGAGGA
This 335-nucleotide unclassified non-coding RNA is filed under the name soil metagenome. RNAcentral's name for it is "partial contains 5.8S ribosomal RNA, internal transcribed spacer 2, and large subunit ribosomal RNA". The stretch from base 1 to 120 matches the Rfam family "5.8S ribosomal RNA", at positions 35 to 154 of the family's 154-position model. The record is from RNAcentral.